RNAcentral lists this ribosomal RNA (497 nucleotides) under uncultured bacterium. RNAcentral's name for it is "partial 16S ribosomal RNA". It matches the Rfam family "Bacterial small subunit ribosomal RNA", at positions 28 to 507 of the family's 1533-position model. The record is from RNAcentral.
GAUGAACGCUGGCGGCGUGCCUAAUACAUGCAAGUCGAGCGAACAGACGAGGAGCUUGCUCCUCUGACGUUAGCGGCGGACGGGUGAGUAACACGUGGAUAACCUACCUAUAAGACUGGGAUAACUUCGGGAAACCGGAGCUAAUACCGGAUAAUAUAUUGAACCGCAUGGUUCAAUAGUGAAAGACGGUUUUGCUGUCACUUAUAGAUGGAUCCGCGCCGCAUUAGCUAGUUGGUAAGGUAACGGCUUACCAAGGCAACGAUGCGUAGCCGACCUGAGAGGGUGAUCGGCCACACGGGAACUGGGACACGGUCCAGACUCCUACGGGAGGCAGCAGUAGGGAAUCUUCCGCAAUGGGCGAAAGCUUGACGGAGCAACGCCGCGUGAGUGAUGAAGGUCUUCGGAUCGUAAAACUCUGUUAUUAGGGAAGAACAAAUGUGUAAGUAACUAUGCACGUCUUGACGGUACCUAAUCAGAAAGCCACGGCUAACUACGUG